RNAcentral lists this ribosomal RNA (1924 nucleotides) under human metagenome. RNAcentral's name for it is "bacterial LSU rRNA". It matches the Rfam family "Bacterial large subunit ribosomal RNA", at positions 522 to 2471 of the family's 2925-position model. The record is from RNAcentral.
AACCCCGGGAGGGGAGUGAAAGAGAACCUGAAACCCUGUGUUUACAAGCUGUGGAACUGCUAUAUAUGCAGAACCGCGUACUUUUUGUAGAACGGUCCGGCGAGUUACGCUUACUGGCGAGGUUAAGUACCAAAGGUAUGGAGCCGAAGGGAAACCAAGUCUUAAGAGGGCGCCAUAGUCAGUAGGAGUAGACCCGAAACCGGGUGACCUACCCAUGUCCAGGAUGAAGUUGCCGUAAAAGGCAAUGGAGGUCCGAACACACAUCCGUUGAAAAGGGUGGUGAUGAGGUGUGGGUAGCGGAGAAAUUCCAAUCGAACCCGGAGAUAGCUGGUUCUCCUCGAAAUAGCUUUAGGGCUAGCCUCAAUUUAGUCUUGCGGAGGUAGAGCACUGAAUAUCCUAGGGGGCGUCAAAGCUUACCGAAGAUUAUCAAACUCCGAAUGCCGUUAAGAUGAUGAUUGGGAGUCAGACUGCACGAGAUAAGUUGGGUAGUCAAAAGGGAAACAGCCCAGACCUCCAGCUAAGGUCCCAAAGUGAGUGUUAAGUGGAAAAGGAUGUGGGAUUUCGAAGACAACUAGGAUGUUGGCUUAGAAGCAGCCAUACAUUCAAAGAGUGCGUAAUAGCUCACUAGUCGAGAGGUCCUGCGCCGAAAAUGUCCGGGGCUAAACACUACACCGAAGCUGAGGAAUGAUUUAUCAUUGGUAGAGGAGCAUUGUUAGCGAGACGAAGCUGUACCGGAAGGAGCAGUGGAUUACUAAGAAGAGAGAAUGCCGGAAUGAGUAGCGAGAGUGAGGUGAGAAUCCUCACGGCCGAAUAUCUAAGGUUUCCAGGGUAAAGCUGAUCUGCCCUGGGUUAGUCGGGGCCUAAGGCGAGGUCGAAAGACGUAGUCGAUGGAUAACAGGUUGAUAUUCCUGUACUACAAUAUAUCAGAACUGUGGGGACACAGACAGAAAGCCAGAGCCGGGAAUGGAAAGACCGGUACAAGCGAGGUAGGAGUAAGGCAGGCAAAUCCGCCUUACAAUCUGAAGACGUGAUGUGUAGCGAAGUUAUAAGUAGCGAAGCUGGUGAGCUGGCUGUCAGGAAAAGCCGCUAUUGUGUAUAUUGUACCCGUACCGUAAACCGACACAGGUGGAUGAGGAGAGAAUCCUAAGGCCGACGGAAGAAGCAUUGUUAAGGAACUCGGCAAAAUGACCCCGUAACUUCGGGAGAAGGGGUGCCCACUUCAGGGUGGGCCGCAGAGAAUAGGCUCAAGCAACUGUUUAGCAAAAACACAGGUCUAUGCGAAACCGAAAGGUGAGGUAUAUGGGCUGACGCCUGCCCGGUGCUGGAAGGUUAAGGGGAGAGGUUAGCGCAAGCGAAGCUUUGAACUUAAGCCCCAGUAAACGGCGGCCGUAACUAUAACGGUCCUAAGGUAGCGAAAUUCCUUGUCGGGUAAGUUCCGACCCGCACGAAAGGCGUAAUGAUUUGAGCGCUGUCUCGACAAUGCACCCGGUGAAAUUGAAAUACCAGUGAAGAUGCUGGUUACCUGCGCCAGGACGGAAAGACCCCAUGGAGCUUUACUCUAGCUUGAUACUGGGAUUCGAUAUUGUAUGUACAGGAUAGGUGGGAGACUAGGAAACGGGAACGCCAGUUUUCGUGGAGUCACCCUUGGGAUACCACCCUUGCAGUAUUGGGUUUCUAACAUGCAGCCGUUAUCCGGCUGGUGGACAAUGUCAGGUGGGGAGUUUGACUGGGGCGGUCGCCUCCGAAAGAGUAUCGGAGGCGCUCAAAGGUUCCCUCAGAAUGGUCGGAAACCAUUCGCAGAGUGCAAAGGCAUAAGGGAGCUUGACUGUGACACCGACGGGUGGAGCAGGUACGAAAGUAGGACUUAGUGAUCCGGUGGUAUAAAGUGGGAUUGCCAUCGCUCAACGGAUAAAAGCUACCCUGG